This is a long non-coding RNA of Pseudopipra pipra, 4133 nucleotides long. RefSeq lists it as uncharacterized. The record is from RefSeq and is a predicted model, not a curated record. The transcript is spliced from 5 exons. Lineage: Eukaryota; Metazoa; Chordata; Aves; Passeriformes; Pipridae.
AAUCUGCUGAUUCCAUAAACCUGAGAUUUUAUCUGAAAGAAUGCAACACAGGGGCACAACUGAAACACCAAGUAACCACUGCCCCAGACCACCCACUCCAGCUUUCCUUACAGGCUUCCACAGAAGACUUGCUCUACCAAGUUCAGGGAAAGACAAAAGAAACCAUUACAGAAGUGGAGUGAGCUCCUGCCUAUAGAGUGUCUGUCUUUGGCUGCAGUAUGUGGACAAGACAAAGGCUCCUGAAGUGUUUGUUUUAUCCAGACUGACUUGGAAGGAGGAAAUUGUAACCACAGCCAUUCAUUUAUAUUUAAAAAAAAUACCCUAUUGAAGCAUAAUCAUCUUCAUCAGAACUUGAAUGACCAUACCACUCACAGGUUUUAUGUUCUUAAACUACACAAAAAUUACCAUGUUUCUGCCUGCUUUCAACAUAGGACAUGAGGAGAAGAAAGAAUUCAGAUAUUAUACCAUUUCUAGACCCAGAGUAAAACUCUGGCUUUCACAAAUAAGCAUUUCUGCAAAAUGAGUUGAGAUGCAUCUGACAGGAAAGACUUAAGAGCACUUUCAAGUUGGAAAGCAGAUUAUCACCAACUAUAAAACUAAGUUUGAGCUCAGUAAAUAACAACUUACGUUGCACAAACAGAACUUGAGUUACUACACACAAAGGGCAUUUCGGACCGCUUCCCACAUUCAGCCUGUGGCUGUCAAUAUGCUGCCUGGAGCUAAUGGAUUUUCCCUGCUGCCAGCAAGCGACCUCACAGCACCAAGCCUGCUUGUGUGUACUCAGCACAGCAAUUUGGUUCCAAGGAAUGUUCAGUUUUUUAUCCUCCCAGGAUAUUCCUGUGGAAGAACAUAAAAAUGUAGUUCAAGGAUGACAGAAAAAUUGGUCAGAAAAUGAGAGAGUGAUCUUUGUGGCUAAGUCUCCUUCUGGAAAGAAGAGUGUCAUGCCUCCUGAACAUUCUGACCUAAGAGAGGAGAGUGAAAUGCUGGAUUGCCAAAGAGCUGGAACUUCUGAAGAUGGAGGUUCAAAUUGUACACAAUGCUUCACUGGUACCAUAUUCCAGAUAGAGAAAUCCCGUCUUAAGACAUUUGUGCCAUUCCAGAUUCAUGGGUACACCACAUGACUCAUGCACAGUGUUCUCUGGUGGAUGAGCAACUACGAGUAUGUGAUGGGAGAGCAAUGAAAAUUCACACACAGGGAGCAUUUGUGGAUUACUGUGAGCUCAGAUUAAUGUUGCAUUCUAUCGCUGUGGUAACUGAGCACAUCACAUGGCAAAACUAUAUUCUGUUCUUAGCCAUCAGGAAGAUGAUGACAAAACCUAAUUAGUGAAGGCAAUAAAGAAAGAAAUUGCAGCCCACAGUUGUCUGUGAUACUUGACUUGACAUACACGAAUGAUGUACAGCUCCCACAUAGAUAAAUUAUGUUUAACAUAUCUCAGUAAUUGUAGCAGCCACAGAAAAAAAGAACAGAAGAAAGAAACUUCUUUCAGUACAUCAACUGAAAGCAGGCAUAAUGCAACGCUGAGCCAGCAACACUUGGUGAAAACAACUAUAAGCCAGAUUACAACAAAGAGGAGAAAUAGGACAUUUCUUAUAUGGCACCCACUUCCAUCAAGAAAUAAAAAGAGACAAUACUAAUGAAAGCAGACUACCUUGUUUGACAAGUAUUUAAUGCCUCCAUUCACAACAUUGUCCCUAAAGGAAAAAUCAGGCAUGGCCAUCUGAGGGAGAGCUGUUCCCUGAAGGAUAUAAAGGAGACACAGAUUGCCUAUUUAAGCAGCCUCCUGUCAUUUGCAAUUCGAAAUGCUGCUUUACUUUCUAAGGUCACUCAAAACUCUUUGUGACUGAAGUCAUAACCUGAAUUUAUUUAUUCCAUAUCCUGUUUACUAAUUCACCAAUAAGUCCUCCUUACCAUGCUAACAAAUCACUGCAUCACAUGGCUUCUUUCUACACAAGAACAAAUCAGCUCAGCCAUUGAUGCCUUUGUGAACACAUUGUCAAGAUUUGUUCUACUUCAACACCAAAGCAAAGCACUGGCCUUGUGGCCUAGAAGGAAGAUAUCACUGUAGCAACUUGAGGUGCUGGUGAUACUGCGUGGUUUCCCUUCUCUUCCUCUUUACUGUACUGCACUCCUGCCAAAAGUUAACUUUACAGGAGAGUGAUUCCUUUUGAGAAGACAGACAGGGCUGCCUCAAUUAUCCUGACUCAGCACGUUUGGAACAAAACAAGGACCAACUGCAGAAAGAGACAUUUGUAAUGCUUGCUCCAGAACACAAAAUAAACAGAGCGAGUGCGCAGCUGGCCUGGUGGCAGCUACAGAGCCUAAGCCUUUGCUCGUUGUUUGGCAGGAAGAGCUGCAGUGCCUGCAUAAAAAUGAAACAUUUUCUUUUCACCAGAUCUCUUUGCCACAUUCAAGAACACCAAUAAGAUACAGCAGCUGACUGGAAAAGAGGACAGAGCCUGUUAGGAUUUCAUGUUAAGAAAAUAGCCAUUAUACUCCCAAUCCAGGACAUACAUUCUUCUAGGUUCAUAUCACCUCGAUUACUGCACUUCCAGUAAUAUAGAAACCAGGAUCCUGAGCUGAACAGAUUCAAAAAGAAAUUUCUUACUUGGGAAUAAGAAACUGCAAAAUUAACCAAGAUCUGUAUCACAAACCAACUUCAAACACGUAAAACAAAAGCACCAAAGAUUUCUACCAUGCUGAAAGUUUGUGAUUAAAAAAGCCACAAAUCUUGUUCUCAGAAGUUCAUUAUGUAGCAUUGUACACUGAAAUACAGGAUGUUGUUAUGCAGCCAAGCAUCUGGGGAGAUUAACCGUGAUUAAAAAAAAAUCUCUGGGAAAAGUAGUUAUUUAAUAGAACAAGGAUGACGGCAAAACAAGCUACCGGAUUUGUGCAAUUGAAUCAAGCUGGAUGUUAGGAACCAUUAUUUUACCAUAAAACAAAUCAAAUAGAAAUAUUUACCUUGAUCCUAAGAGAUGCUGAGUACAAAGCUCCCAGCAGUUUCCCACCAAAAAAACAGAGCAGUAUCCUUACAGACAGGGCAGUGUAAAAUGACCUGAAGCGUUCAAGAAUAUGUUUCUUCAUAGUACCAAAGUAAAGGAAUUCGGGGAAGCCACGUAGGAGGGUGUCCUGAGAGACAUGGUAAAUACCGAGCAAAGGGGAUGUUGAACCCAUGUUGCAAUGAUAGGUGUGGGCAACAACAGAGAGACUAAAGGCCAAGAGGAAGACACAGCCAAGCCCAGAGCAGAGAGAAAAAGCCAGAGACAAAAACUGUAUAGGGCUCUCUUCCUAUGUUGUAAAGCUAUCCUCCCACUACCUACAGUCACAUCAAUGCUCAUUCUCAACACACAGUUAAACUCUGCACUACAGCUGUAUUUCACCAUUCUGAAAUGCUACAUAAAUACUACAUAAUUAAAACAGCUAAAGCUUUUCCUGACAGUUUUCUUGCAUUCAAAUAUACAUGCUCAUUCUUCCAAGUAUGAAGCAUCAUCACUACUUGGAAGAAGCCUGCUCCUUGUACUGAAUAGAACUGCUUAGCUGAUUUAUAGGGCAUUUACUGUAACUGCUUCUGGGCAUAAAGCAAGCAGUUUUUGUUUGUUGGCUUGGUUAUUGGAGGGGUUUUUUUUGCUUUUUUCAGUGAAGAGUGACAACUGUCAGAAGUAUCCAUUAGCACAGAAUUUGUCCAAGAAAAAUUCUGUCAUAUUGCUGUUAUUACAGGAAAGACAAGAAAAGUAAUCUCAGACAAGGACAUAUGACUUGGCAGACGUGAAACAGAGAUAUCAGCCUCAAAUUCCAAGAACAAACUUAACUACUGCCAGCAAGCUGACAGCUACAGUUCAUGUGCAUCUGCUGUUUCCCAGAACUGCACUUUGCAGAAGUGUGAAGUUAGACACUUUGCAAUUCUAUCAAGUUGAGACAUUAAAGAAAAAAACUCAGCACUCUGAACCCAUAUUAAAAAAAAAAAGAAAACAAACUUUAAUAUGUUUUUCUCCAAGAUCUAAUAUACAAAUGCAACGGUAAUAAUGUACUCUUCUUUUGUAAGCUUGGAUGAAAUAUAUUGAAGUCCACUUUUUGCAUGUUAUGUAAAAAAUCAUCUAAAGCAACCUAGAAAAGAAGAAAAAAAGCUUAAUCCAUA